RNAcentral lists this ribosomal RNA (253 nucleotides) under uncultured bacterium. RNAcentral describes it as "partial 16S ribosomal RNA". It matches the Rfam family "Bacterial small subunit ribosomal RNA", at positions 524 to 776 of the family's 1533-position model. The record is from RNAcentral.
AACGGAGGGUGCGAGCGUUGUUCGGAAUUACUGGGCGUAAAGCGCGUGCAGGUGGUCUUUUAAGUUCCGUGUGAAAUCCCUCGGCUUAACCGGGGAACGGCGCGGAAAACUGGAAGACUUGAGUACGGGAGAAGAGGGCGGAAUUCCCAGUGUAGAGGUGAAAUUCGUAGAUAUUGGGAGGAACACCGGUGGCGAAAGCGGCUCUCUAGACCGAUACUGACACUCAUACGCGAAAGCGUGGGUAGCAAACAGG